GCAUCGACGAGGCCGAGGUGGUGGACGCCACCAUGCACGGCAGCGCCGCGCGCUUCAUCAACCACUCGUGCGAGCCCAACUGCUACUCGCGCGUCAUCCACGUGGAAGGUCACAAACGCAUCGUCAUCUUCGCCCUGCGCCGCAUCCUGCGCGGCGAGGAGCUCACCUACGACUACAAGUUCCCCAUCGAGGAACCGGCGGCCAAGCUGCCCUGCAACUGCGGCGCCCGGCGGUGCCGGCGGUUCCUCAAUUGAAAAGCCGGGUGGUUUUUUUUGGGGGUUCGGGGAGGUUCUGGAGAUGUUUGUUGAGGUGGGGUGUGGUGGGUUGGUGGUGUUGGUGGUGGUGGUGGUGAGGUUUGGUGGUUGGGUAGAUGUUGUAGGGGUUAAUUGAGAGUUGGGGUGGUCAAUCGGGAGUUGUGGUGGUCAAUCGAGAGUUGUGGUGGUCAACCAAGAGUUGUGGUCAACCAAGGAUCAUGGUGGUCAACCAGGAGUUGUGGUGGUCAACCAAGAGUUGUGGUCAACCAAGAGUUGUGGUCAACCAAGGAUCAUGGUGGUCAACCAAGAGUUGUGGUGGUCAACCAAGAGUCCUGGAGAUCAACCUAGAAUCAUGGUGGUCAACCAAGAACGAUGGUGGUCAACCAAGAGUUGUGGAGAUCAACUGGUGGUUGGCCAAGAGUCCUGAAGAUCAACCAAGGAUCAUGGUGGUCAACCAGGAAU
This 716-nucleotide long non-coding RNA is filed under the name Parus major (Great Tit). RNAcentral describes it as "lncRNA (ENSPMJG00000002236.1)". Lineage: Eukaryota; Metazoa; Chordata; Aves; Passeriformes; Paridae. The record is from RNAcentral.